RNAcentral lists this ribosomal RNA (500 nucleotides) under uncultured bacterium. RNAcentral describes it as "partial 16S ribosomal RNA". It matches the Rfam family "Bacterial small subunit ribosomal RNA", at positions 30 to 523 of the family's 1533-position model. The record is from RNAcentral.
AUUGAACGCUGGCGGCAUGCCUUACACAUGCAAGUCGAACGGCAGCACGGGAGCAAUCCUGGUGGCGAGUGGCGAACGGGUGAGUAAAGUAUCGGAACGUGCCCAGUCGUGGGGGAUAACGUAGCGAAAGUUACGCUAAUACCGCAUACGAUCUAUGGAUGAAAGCGGGGGAUCGCAAGACCUUGCGCGAUUGGAGCGGCCGAUAUCAGAUUAAGUAGUUGGUGGGGUGAAGGCUCACCAAGCCGACGAUCUGUAGCUGGUCUGAGAGGACGACCAGCCACACUGGGACUGAGACACGGCCCAGACUCCUACGGGAGGCAGCAGUGGGGAAUUUUGGACAAUGGGCGAAAGCCUGAUCCAGCCAUGCCGCGUGCAGGAUGAAGGCCUUCGGGUUGUAAACUGCUUUUGUACGGAACGAAAAGGUUUGGCCUAAUAAGCUGAGCUCAUGACGGUACCGUAAGAAUAAGCACCGGCUAACUACGUGCCAGCCGCCGCCGUAA